RNAcentral lists this ribosomal RNA (253 nucleotides) under uncultured bacterium. RNAcentral describes it as "partial 16S ribosomal RNA". It matches the Rfam family "Bacterial small subunit ribosomal RNA", at positions 524 to 776 of the family's 1533-position model. The record is from RNAcentral.
UACGAAGGGGGCUAGCGUUGCUCGGAAUUACUGGGCGUAAAGGGCGCGUAGGCGGAUAUUUAAGUUAGAGGUGAAAGCCCUUGGCUUAACCGAGGAAGUGCAUCCGAAACUGGCGAGCUAGAGUACUAAAGAGGAUCGCGGAAUUCCCGGUGUAGAGGUGAAAUUCGUAGAUAUCGGGAGGAACACCGGUGGCGAAGGCGGCGAUCUGGGUAGAUACUGACGCUGAGGUGCGAAAGCGUGGGGAGCAAACAGG